AACGCACCUUGCGCCCUUUGGCUAUUCCGAAGGGCAUGCCUGUUUGAGUAUCAUGAACACCUCAACUCUCAUGGCUUGCCAUGACGAGCUUGGACUUUGGGGGUUUUGCUGGCCUGUGGUCGGCUCCUCUGAAAUGAAUUAGCUUGCCAGUAUUUGGUGGCAUCACAGGUGUGAUAACUAUCUACGCUUGUGGUUUUCCACCAGGUAACCUUCAGUGAUGGAGGUUUGCUGGGGCUUAUAAAUGUCUCUCCUCAGUGAGGACAGCUCUUUGAACGUUUGAUCUCAAAUCAGGUAGGACUACCCGCUGAACUUAA
Molecule: unclassified non-coding RNA, 314 nt
Filed under: uncultured Tomentella
Lineage: Eukaryota; Fungi; Basidiomycota; Agaricomycetes; Thelephorales; Thelephoraceae
Description: sequence contains ITS2
Source: RNAcentral